AUACGAGCUACGCCAAUGGCUGAACUGCAAAACCUUUGUAGCCAAAAACAAUCAACAACGAUGCAGGGGGCUUAUUGUUUUGAUGUAAAUGAAUUGAAUGUUAAAACCGGAUUGCAAUAGAACAGACCGUUCGAUCGCAGCAUUUUCAAUCGUGCCCUUUCCUUUGCGAUUUCUAUAGCAAAACAAGUAUGAAAUUCUUUGAAAACUCAUCAGUGACGAUGAUCGGAAGGAUUUGUGCAAAUGUCGUGAAACAUGGAUUUUUUUUUAAGUAACAGUUUUCUGAAAUAAUUUGUUAUUAGUGUUUAACGUUUGGUAUAGUCGUUUAUGUAAAUUCCAUUCCUUAAAUGCGAGUUGCUUUAUCGUCCCUAGCCUACUACACAUUUGUUGAGAGUUUUUUGUCGAGACAAAAAAGGAAAAAAAAAAAACCAAAAAAAACAAAUGGCUGCCAAAAUCGAGGGUGAGGGUAAACGACAAACGUUUGUCAUUCAGGGUCACUUGCGGUGUUGCGGAGUUGUUAUCGAAUCAUUUUGGACUGUGCCAGCUCUUAAGUGCAGAGACGUUCGCCAAGCCCCACAGAAAGGAUAAAGCCCACGAUCAAGAAUUUUGACCGUGAAUCGCGAACUCGAUUGAACUCCGGGAACUGGUGACGACCUAUAUGGAAUUGCCCUUGGAAUUUUCAGAUUAUUAUACCCUUUCUGGAUUGAUUUCUUCUUUAACAUCACCAAUUUUGGGUGGUCCUGUGACUCCAAUUCCACUUGUACAUGAGGCACAUCAUUUUGCUGUGGUACUCAGGUGCAUUGGGUGUUAAGAAGUAAACGUGCCCACAUAAAUUAGGCAUUACGAACACGUCGAGUAAAGUGUAAAUAUUUCGAAAACGAACUGGUAAAUAUCAAUUUUUUAAACUAUAAUUUACGUUACAAGAAAAUCGGCUUAAUCUUAGGAGGCCUCCGUCCCUCCUUUCACUUCAUUCUAUAUAUUUAUUAAAGUGCAAUUCGUUUGGUCCAUUGAGGACAAGUUUGAAAAAUUGCGUUAAACUAAAAUAGUUUGUUUUUUCAUUGCCAAAAAAGAUGAGAUAAGAUUUAGCUUCCUCUACCCCGAUUUAGCUUCCUAGCUCCCUUACUCGUUCAAGUCCGGUAGAAUCUAACGUGUAGAUUUUCGGCUGUUCAUUCCAAAAUUUAUCAGCAUUGAAGAUAAAUUUUCGCCAACGAAACAAAGGAAAGACACGAUACAGCCAAAGAUUAAGAUGUAAAACGCGCCCGAGAAGUUUUUCAAAGUAAUUUUCGUUCGGUUGUCAAAUAGUUUGCCUCGUUGCUUUUCCUUAGCCUCGUUGAGACAAAAAUUUACGUUUUGAUGUUUUUCCUGUUCACGCCGAGUCCAAAAAUCAAUUAAUCCGGCUUGAUGCAGCUGCAUGAAUCUGCGCCAGACAGAAAAAAACAAAACAACAUAACCACAAUUAAAGUUGAAAAAGAUUUUAGCAAUACCUACCCUUUGACAAAGACUUUAGUAUUGGGACUCUUUUUGGGCAGGAUCCAUGCCAAAGAUCCCGUAGUUGGGUCGGAUCUCUGAGCUAUGGCAAGAUUACAUUUAUUUGUAGCCUUAAAAUCUUGACUGAUCAUAGUCAGCGCGCCAAACAUACCCUUUAAACAUCAACAUAAGAAUAGACGAAUUAUUCCUAUAGUUGAAGUAAAUAUUUCAACCUAAAGAAAAUUUCGGAUGCAAAGUCCUGGCCAUUUGAUGUUUGUUUACCUGAAUAUAGGUGUACUUUCCUGAUUUCACAAGGUUAAUGCAGUCACGGUUUGUCGCGCAGCGGGACUUUGGGUCUGACCGUAGUUUAUCACCCAAUUGCUUGUAGAUUCCAUCUUUGGCUGACUAAAUUAAUAUCCAUUUUCUUUUAGAAUCAACAGUGUCAACAUGUUAAAGCAUUGAUUCAAUUACCGAAAGAACAAUAUCUAUGCCCUUUCCUUCAUCGACGACUAGACGAACGUUCGGUUUUCCGGCCAAGUCCGUAACUGAAUCGACCAACGGUUCUGCAUUUGAGCCCAGGAUGUAAGAAACUAAGACGCUGUUGUAUGCGCUAAUUAGCACGAAUGUGCCCAGAUACCAUGAACCCAGAACGAAGUAAACAGCUAGUCGUGGCAUUGGCAGAACUCUGCCUCCUGCAUUGAAAAAAUUUUGUAUUUUGACUGGAAUCGAAUUAAAAUGGAUUGAUUAUUCCUUACCUUGGUUUAGGAGAAUCCGGCAUACUUCGAAAAUGAUUUGGCCUGCUGUUGAACUUGCUGGACGUUGCAUUGCGCUUUGCUUCCAUCCCGAGACAUCAGAGCGGAUCGUUCCAGGUAUCGGAUGGAUCGAAAGGUAAAUGGCAAUCGCCGUAACAGGAAUUAACAACAGCAAUCCAAUCCAGACCUGUUUUUUUUUUAAAUAAUAAUGUUCAACCGGCAUUUACAAUCCUUCAUUUAAAUACCAUUUUAGGAAGAUAUAUCGCUAAGAACUUAAUUACUGAAAUUUGAAAGGGUUUGAUAAUAGCUGCCGUGUUGCUUGUUGACUGAGGCAUUGGUAUCACGACAGCGACUGUCGUGUAGGAAUAUCCCUCAGCGAAAUCCAUGGAUAUUAAACGGCUAGAGACCAUUACAAUGGUUCCCAUCAUCAAGUCACAUUUCUGGAAUGUAAUCGAAGUAGAUUGUUAUCAAUUUCACAAUAUUUACAGGUACACAGAUCAAAAGAAUGUAACUGACGCCUUUUUCCAUGUAAUAAGCCAGGCCCGGUAAUGAAUCAUUUUGCUUUUCGAUGGAGUUGUCGUUCACCUGCAAAUACGAAUACCUAUACAGCAACGCAAUAAAAAAAAAAGCCAGAGUUUUAGCAGCUACACCAUCUACUCUAGUUAUUUGACCGGUGGUGUUCCUUAUUACGGUUGCAUGAACCAACGCAACCUUGAUCAAAUACAGAUGAAGACGGUUAAAAAUUAUUGAGCAAGUAAAUAUGAAUCCUAUUGUACCAGUGGCCCGACAGACAGGUGUUUUCCGUUCAAUGGAUUAAAAUCGCUUGAAACAAGUUCAAUUAAGAAUAGCAUCCAGUGAAUUGUCUUCAUCGUGAAAAGAUUUAAAAUAGGUGACUGUAAGACCGUUGCUGUGUAAGAACCGAAUUCACAUCUGCCGGACGAAGGAGAAGAACCGUUCUUUUAAACGACAUGAACGAAUAUCGUGGACUGCCUCGAUCACCACGGAAACUUUACAUUUAACUAAGAAAAUCCCUCGGGUUGCGUGAGAACGGUUCGUUCAAAAGCUUUUGAAGACAGAAAUAACGCAGUGAUAUGAAUCCAUUAUGGAUAGCAAUCAACGAUGCUAGGAAUGUCACAGAAAGCUAAUGGCAGGAAUAAUUGAACGUGUCUAUCAUCAAAAGACAUUUCAACGAAGCCUCUGUCAAACUCAAAAGAAAUAUGAACAGAAUUUUUAUUUUUGUAUUUCGGGAAAGAAAACUAAGCAUCACAAAUGACAGGCUAACUAUUGAUUCUACUUAGAGACUAGAAAUGAGUUUUCAGCGGAUAUUUGGCUUGACGCUCACACGAAACAUAUUUAUGUGAAAACAACUGAACUUCGGAAUCGAUCAGGAGUGAAUAAUAACGCACAUCGUCAGUACUGAAGCUGAGCUUUCUACAUUUCACGUUUUGUCGAAACAAUUGCUGCGAAUCGAGCACGUCUUUUGAAACGACUGUCUUAUAAGGCUAACGGUAGAUGAACGCCAGUGAAGCAACCCACAGGUAGUCCACACAAUCAAGAAGUGAACGAAUCCCGAGAUGUUCUUCAAGACCUUGCUGAAAUGCGUGCGGAAGUGACACAGAAUGAAAUCUUGAAAUGUAAUGACAUCAUCAAUGUUGGAAGAAUUUCUCCCAACGAGAACGGAGGCACAAAACAACCUCAUUCACUUUUAGAACGAACGAAUAGCGUGAGCACAGAUUACGGACAAGCUAGACACGGAAUUCAUCGUGCAGAACGAAAGCUCUGCAGCAAGAGAAUAUGCCCCAAGCGGGAAUAUAGAGUUUUCAUCCGUACAUGGUAAUGCCAAAAUUAAAGCCUGAUGGUUGAGCAAUGCUCGAGUGACGUGGACUAGUGGGAGACAGUUGUAAUCAAUCAUGGUUGCAAACUCGUUCAAGGAAACUGACGCAAUAAGGGGAAAUCCCAUGCUGCCUAAAGGGGGUAUACUUACGAAACCUUUUUCUGGAAAGACCCCAACAUUCCGGAUUUUCCGGUGAUUGUGGAGAAGGAGGUAAUCAAGGGAUACUCGGUAUGAAUUAGUAAAAAAAAAAAAAAAAGAAAAAACCCUUUUCCCACAAUACCGCUGACAGGCUCCU
RNA transcript from Daphnia magna, 4345 nucleotides. RefSeq lists it as uncharacterized. NCBI's taxonomy places the organism in Eukaryota, Metazoa, Arthropoda, Branchiopoda, Diplostraca, Daphniidae. The record is from RefSeq and is a predicted model, not a curated record. The transcript is spliced from 11 exons.